Molecule: non-coding RNA, 768 nt
Filed under: Megathymus beulahae beulahae
Lineage: Eukaryota; Metazoa; Arthropoda; Insecta; Lepidoptera; Hesperiidae
Source: RNAcentral
UAAAAAUUUAUGAUUUUGUGAAUUUAUUUAUAAUUUAUUUUACAUGUAAAUUUUAGUAUGAAUUUUACAUUAUUUUAAUAAUAAUAAUUUAUUUAACAGUAAUUAAUAUUAAAAAUUUAAGAAAUUAAGAUUUAGUAAUAUUAAAAUUAAUAACAAAUUUUGUGCCAGCAGUUGCGGUUACACAAAAAUUAAGGUAAAUUUUUUUUAGUUAUAAUAAAUAUAAUAAAUUUUAAAUUAAACAUUAAAUUAUUAAGUGAAAUUUUAAUUAAAGAAAAAUUUAUAUUUAAAAUAUGAUUUAAUAAAUUUAUAAAAAGACUAGGAUUAGAUACCCUAUUAUUAAAAAUUUAAAUUAUAAUACUAAAAUAGUAAAUUAUUAUUAUUGAAACUUAAAUAAUUUGGCGGUAUUUUAGUUCAUUUAGAGGAAUCUGUUUAAUAAUUGAUAAUCCACGAAUAAAUUUACUUAAUUUAAUAUUUUGUAUAUCGUUGUUAAAAAAAUAUUUUUAAAUAAAAAUAAUAUUUAAAAAUUAUAAUAAAAAUUAGUUCAGAUCAAGAUGCAGAUAAUAAUUAAGAAUAUAAUGGAUUACAAUAAAUAUAUUUAAAUGAAUUUUUUUUUGUAAAAAAAAAUUGAAGGUGGAUUUAAAUGUAAUUUUAUUUAAUUUAAUAAAAUGGUUAAAAAUUAAAAUAUGUACAUAUUGCCCGUCACUUUCAUUUUAAAGUUGGAAUAAGUCGUAACAAAGUAGAGGUACUGGAAAGUGUUUCUAGAAAGAC